This 17754-nucleotide long non-coding RNA is filed under the name Eucalyptus grandis. RNAcentral describes it as "long non-coding RNA (EGRA_LNC001927)". Lineage: Eukaryota; Viridiplantae; Streptophyta; Magnoliopsida; Myrtales; Myrtaceae. The record is from RNAcentral.
GCUCUUCUAUUAGCUUAAGGAUCUUGGUCUUCAACGCUUCCUGGUCCUUCUUAAGCAUUUUGAGUUCUGCUUCCUUUUCAGCUUUCUGGUAAUCAGAGGUGACAGUACUUCUCGAUUUUUUUCUAUGCUUGUUUAAGUUGCGUCUCCUCUUUAUGUUCUUCAGCAAAUGCUUCUUCCCUUUCUGAAAACCUUGGUUUGCAAACUCCCAUUGAUCUGGAUUGAUCUUCCUAAAACCCUGCAACACAUUUUUAAUUAUGAUGCAUGAAGAAUAGAAGAUAGGAAGAAGCUAUGUCUAGGAGUUCAUAAUGAACCAAAGGCUAAAGAGUAGAAAAUAAGCAGAAUGAAGGCCAUGAAAGUUUCAGUGGAAGAUGUGCACAAGGGGUAUUACUAGGCCAAUAUAGAAAGUAAACGGAUUAUAAUGCAUGCCAAGGAGAGACCGCUUACAAAUAUCCAAAUUCCAGUACAAAGAGUGUGGAAAAUUUUAAGAGUAAAGGCAAACAACUCAAAAUCAAUCCAGCUACUACUAGAUAUAAUAUAAAUACAACAGUGCAGAAUUAUGCUUCUGGUCUUGCCCAAAAAGAAGAAAGGUGCUACAAAACACCGGAUAGAAACAAAGCAAUGGCCAAAGGAAACUUGUCUUCAGCUAGAAAGUGCAUAAUGAAGAAUUAAAGCCGUAAAUGCAAAAUACUAACCGCUAUAAGGGAAUUGCUGUAGGCCAUUUCUGAAUCCAGUACGAAGAUAAUCUCUAAUGGGUGAUCUGAUGUCAUGGUUGACAUGAUGGUUUCUGCAAACUACCGUCUAAAGCAUCAUCACUUGAAUAUGAUGACUACUGAGGGCCUAAUAGGGGCCAUUGUCCACUGGCCCCUCGAUGCAUAUUUUUGAGAACAUGUGCCACAUGAUUCACCAAAUUUCUUAGAGAAUCUGUGUAUCUCGCCCACCAUUUCAGGUUUCUUGGUUCCUCGUCCCCUAAACUAGGGUACAGCACAAAUAGUACCCGACAAAGUCAAAGUGGGUUAAAUUAAGUCUCGACACCUGAGCAAACGUCUUAAGAGGACCACGCUCUCGACGACAUCAAAAAAGAACCGAAGAGUUAAACCAAAACGCUCAUACACAGACAUACUUUAUACAGAUCCAUACAAAAGAUAACGACCACAACAAAUAACAUUGGUUUGCUCAUAUCAAAACAUGAAGAAGUACCCACAUAAGUGCUGAGCUGCCUGAUGAAGCUGGAGAAGUUGGAGUGCUUGAAGUAUCGGGGCAGGACCUGCUUCGAGAACUCCUGCCGAUCCCACACCACGAAGCUAUCCUGGCUCAAGCCCCACGACACCACCGGAUCUGUACCCGGGUCCGACACCAUCUCGUAAGUCUUCCUCAGGAACGGCGUUGGCCCCACCACCCCCAGAUCCUCCAUCGGCUUUGCCACAUCGUAUGCUGCCGCCUGCCAUGAGCAUGACGGCGAUAAAAUGGCCGCAGUGGUCGCCACCUCCUCCUCUUCCAAUUCCUCCUUGAUCUUCACCGCCUGCACGACCAGAGCCGAACAGAGUUCGGGCCGGGUCAGGCAUGAAUGCAAGCGCGAUCCAGCUUCAAUUUUGCCAUCGCCAAUGGCUACCUGUGGCAAUGGACCCGAAUGGGAAAGCGACCCACAGCAUCCUAGCUCGCCUGCACGGGCUUUUGAUUGUGACCGAGAAGAAUCGGUUCGGGUUAGGUCCGAGUACAAGGGCGACCGGGACCCUAUCUCGCCAUGGUCGUCAUCAUCAAGAACAGCGAAGGACGCGAUUUCUUCCCGUGACCUUGCGAAAGGUUUUGCCUUUUCUAGCUCAAGACUUGAAUCUCGAAAGAAGGUUUCGGAAAACCAUGGGCAAGAUCCAUUGGCACGGCCGGGGAAACAACCGCCGGCGCCGCCGUGAAACGCCGUCAUCAAUUUGAGCUCGAGUUCAUGGUUUUUUUUUUCACUUUUUUGGGGGGGUCAGGAGCGUCGAGUUCAGGUUCAGAAGGUGGAGAUAAUAUGAGCAAAUUUCAAGCGAAUGAACAUACAUGGUAGGAUUUCGAGAGACGGUAAGAAAGAGCUUAAAUUGAAAAGUGGAGCAGGCAAGGGCAAGGGCGAUGGCAUGUGGACUUAUAUACUCGUGAGAAAAGGAAAUUGAUAAGCUGACUGCACCGUUACCUUGGAAGAGUGACGGUGGUGCAAUCACUGCCACAUUUACUCAAAUUAAUUUUCAUGCCACAGAAAAUCUUAAACUGAUGAACAAGUACCACAUUUUUCCCAAAGUAAUUUUCAUAUAAAAAAAAUAUCCACUUUGGAAGGGAGAAAAUUGAUAGAUUUUAAGGUAGAAGUCACCAAAAACUCUACACUAUGCCACUCUAAGACCUUUAUCCCAGAUUUUUUUUUUCUUUUUGUGACACAAAAAAAAUCUCAAACUUACAUCUAUGUGACACAUUUACCACAAAAUUAUACAAUGUGAUACAUUUAACCCAAAUUUCUUAUUGUGACACCAAAGACCCAAGACUUUAGUGUCACAUAAAAAAGUUUGAGGUAAAUAUGUCAUAUGAGUACAAGUUUGGGAUUUUUGAUGUUACAAAAAAUAGUUUAGGAUAAAUGUGUCACAGUGGUCAAAGUUUGAAAUGCUUUGUAGCUUUUUCCCUAAAUUUUAACAUAAGUUACUUCAUUAAAAACAAUUUUUUGCAAGUUAGCCUUUUAUAAAAUUGGUGCAACGGACAAGAUAACCAGAAGUUUCUGAGAAAAAAUUUCAUCCUUGUGUCUUCUUCCCUUUAAUUUUGUCUACUUGGUGGAACAUCUUAAGCCAGCGGACAAGAAUUUUAGGCUUGCCGCGGCUAGUCCUUUUCUGAGGACGAUAAUCCUACAAAACCUUAUGUAUGCUCUUGUGAUGUUUUGAACAGAACUGGUUUACCCCCUUUUUUAGGGAAAAAAAUGAUAGGGGAUCUUGUACACAUACUCUAAAUGCAUCUUUAUGAAUUUGGAAAGUUAAUUUGAAAUAAAUGCAACAUGAAUUUAUCAUUUUUAGGAUUUUUUUUUUUUUGGUAAUAUUAACCAUAUUCUUUUAAAAUAUGUGUAUUAAACAUUUCUUAUCAUUUGGCAAGGACUAAUGCAUGAAGAACAUGUUGGGGAGCCAAAUGUAACUAAGCAUUCGUCAGCCCUUGCUUGACCACUUGCCAGAUCUAGCCAUGACGGCUGCAAGCUUUGAGGUUUAAUCUAGCUUUUAAGCUCACGGCUGCCAUGGCCACUUGAGGUUGAAGCUUGGCCUAAGAGUCUGCUUCAUGGAGGAAAGUAUGUUUUUUUACUUCCUCUUGAACAAGUUCCACAAGCUUUUAUGUCAAAGAAGCCUGUUAAGGUUCAGAAGAUUUUCUGCUCUAUAUGCUUUGACCGGAAGCCACAACAAUUUCAGGUUCUCUAAUGAAAUCCUUUCGAUCAGAGACCAUACUUUCCUUCUGCACUUCCAUCUCAAUCCUGAUGGCUUCCUUUAGAAGAAGGGUGACUCAUAUAUUCUGGAUUGCGCACCUUUGACUUUUUCUCUUUCAUUUUCAUCUUUUUAUUUCUUGAACCAGUCCGGAAUGAGUCACGAAUUUCCAUAGGUAGCUUCGAGUCUGAUCUCUGGCGGGUGGUCAUGCAAGGGCCGACGAACCCCGCCAAAGGUCUAGGUGGCAGUGGGCAGCAAUGAACAUGCGCCAGAGAGCUUUGGCCGAGCAAUCCCGAGCUUGAGGACGAUGAAUACUAACUUCAAUUUUUGUUUUGUUUUUUGUUUUAAUCUUUUUAGGUGUGUUGCUUGCGUGGGUGCCUCUUGUCCUUGAAAAGCACUAAGAAUGCCACAUUGAAUCCAUGUCAGAUUUUUAACAUAACCCUAUGUUGGGAAUAACGGAUCCCCGAAAACCAGAUUCGACACUAAAUCGAACCCCUAAAUCAAUGCGGAAGACGAAGCCCGGGAAAACACGUAUCACCGAUCGUAAAGCACACCACGGAGUCGAGCGUACCUUGUUAGCCACAAAUUAGACACCAAUGCCGAAGAUCGAGGAAGAAAUUCUGAUCUGAUGAUGUCAAUUCGCCUUGAAAAGGGAAACCGGCGUCGCCUUAAGAGUACUGUUCUUGUUAGAGGGAGAGAGGGAGAGGAGAAGACGUACGUUCAUUUGUUCCGUUCCAACGGGUGUCAUCUCUCUCUCUCACCUCCCUUUUAUACCUUCCCCCAUCCACGGGCCCUAUUCCCGUGGGCCGGGCCUUUUGGGCCCAGCAUGGGCGGACGGGCCUUAAGCCCAUCACCAAUUAAAACCAUCAUAUCCCACUCGCACAUGGUGGGCUGAACAGAAUUCUCUUUACCUCUCUUCAACAUUCAUACCGGUGAAUAAUCCAUGCGACCAGCAUACUUUGAGAGCUUGUUGCCAUACAUCUGUUAGGAAUAUAUAGCAGCUCAUAAUGGGCAUCACACUCCGAGUAGAUUUAGUAUGCAGUACCCUAGAUCGAUCGAUCACAUUUAUAUCUCUCUUAAUCUCUUUUAAACAAUGAUAUAUAUUGUAUUCACAAUUAUGAUUAUCACAAAGACAGUCAUAAUUGGUUAACCGGUGAAUACAAAAAACUACAAUGUGAUUCUCCAAAUUCGAUCUUCCUCUUUCCUUCAAACUCUCAAUUUCAGUUCAGCUUGCUUUUCUAGAAAUACCCCAUUAGAUCAAAUCAGCACAUGACCAUUGGCAACAUCCUAAGAUAGCAAACACUAAAUAGAAAUCUUGAGGAUAAGUAAGAGUCAUGAGGGGACUAAAAAUUGAGGAGCUCUUUUCCUCAAGAGCCUCACACGUCAUAAAAAAUUGAGAUCAAACUUUUUGCCACUCUUAUUAGUUGUCUCAUGCAUACGUAGUAUGAAAUAUGUAUUACGGUAUUAACUCCUUUCCCAUGGAGCGUAUGUCUACACUUUCAAUACCGUACAGAUGAUAGUUUAGACAUACCCAAUGUCUAACUUGAGUUCACGUAUCUACUCAAUCAUAAAAUUCAUCAGAACUCACAUUUGGCAUCAUAGACAGAUAAAGUAAAAUAUGUUGGUGAUUUUACUUUCGGACAUAGUUAGUAUUAUGUCCUCAUCUUAACACUUAGUUAAGGUGACAUACGUAUUUUAAGCUUGAGCUCUCGAUUAUCACCUAGAUAAUAAGCUUAAAAAUAGUCUCAUCUCUAUCUAUCACACAGUAAAUAGAGGCGAUUACCCGUGUGAGUGGGCUAAUCUUAUAUCUGUCCGACAUACUUUCUCAACUUAAAGUAAUGCACUGAGCAUUAAGAUACAUAAAGAUCAAACAAAGAUUCAUAGGCAUUAAUGAUGAAAACACAAAUUCAUCAAAUGUGAAAUUUUAGGGAAAUUACAAUAUUCAAUACAUCAUCCUCUACGCAAUCCUAGAGAUUUCAUAUGGCCACAAAAACACAUCUCUAGGUAUUGGCUUUGUCAUAGGAUCUGCUACCAUUCUAUCCGUAGUAUGUACUCUAAGUUCACAUCAUUUCGUGCAAUCAUAUCAUUGACAAAAGUAUACUUGGUAUCUAUAUGUUUGGUCUUGCCAUGAUAUUUUGGAUCUUUGGUGUACACUUUCGCUGCUUGGCUAUCACAGUUAACCAAUAACAAAUCUGCAGCACUUCCAAUAACACCUAAAUGAUCCAAUAAUCUCUUAAGCCAAACAUCUUCUUAUACUGCUAUUGAUAAUGCCACGAACUCAGUUUCCAUCGUGGACAAGGCUAUACACUUUUGUUUCUUACUGCUCCAACAUAUGGUGCCAUUAUUCGAUAAGAAAACAAAUCAAGAGGUAGAUUUUCUUUCAUUUAAAUCUCCUCCCCAAUUAGCAUCAGAAUAGCGUUUGAGUUGCAGAUCCUUUCCUUAAUAACUCAACGUAUAAUCAGCAGUUCCCUUUAGAUACCUCAGUAUUCUUUUAACGGCUUUCCAUCGUGCUUGACCUGGAUUGGAUUGGUAUCUACUCACCAUUCCAAUUGCAUAACAUAUGUCAGGUCUUGUACACAUCAUAGCGUACAUCAAGCUCCCAACAGCACUAGCAUAAGGAACAUGUUUCAUUUGUUCCUUCUCUUGUGGAGUCCUUGGACACAGUCUAUGGCUCAAUCCUUCACCUUUUGCAAUAGGAGUGUCAAUGGGUUUACAAUCUCAUAUCCUGCAAUUCAAAAUUGGAAGACAACCAACUCUUGACAGUAUUGACAAGUUCCAUAUUGCUUCCGGCAAUUAAUAUAUCAUCAACAUAUAAUAAUAUGAUUACAAAUUGAUCCUUGGAUCUUUUGAUAUAUACAUAAUGAUCCUCAUCUAUCAUUGUAAAAUCAUAUGCCAUUAUGGCAUUAUGAAAUCGUAUAUACCAUUGUCUUGACGACUGUCUAAGGCCAUAUAUCGACCUCAAAAGUCGACAUACCUUUUCUUCUUGGCCUUUCACUAUGAAACCAGCAUGUUGUUCCAUAUAUGUUCCUUCCUCUAAUUCUCCAUUGAGGAAAGCAGUCUUUACAUCCAUUUGAUGUAACUCAAGAUCCAGACUAGCCACUAUUGCCAGAAUAAUGCGAAUCGAGGUAAAUCUCACUACAGGAGAAAACGUAUCUUCAUAAUCAAUAUAUUCCUGUUGAUUAUACCCCUUCGCCACAAAGCGAGCCUUAUGCCUUUCUAUCGAGCCAUCAGCCUUUCGCUUUAUUUUGAGAACCCACUUGUUCUCAAUAGCUUUGCGUCCUUUUGGAAGAUCAACCAGUUCCCAGACUUGGUUUGAUUUCAUUGACUCCAUUUCCUCUUUCAUUGCAUAAAUCCAUUUUUCCUUACUAGGGCAUUUUAGAGCCUCAUUAAUAUUUCUUGGCUCAUCCUUAUCUCGUGGAGCAAUUAUAAAAGUUUCCCCUUCAAUGUCAAAACGUUGACGGGGAAUACUUUGGCGACUUGUUCGCUAUAUGGGAGAUUGUACACUUAGCACAUCAUUCCCCAUUAUGCUCCCACUCGGAUUAGAUUAUGACGAUAUCAUCUCAUCAUGUGGUUGUAAUUGAGAAUGCGUUGAAUUCAAUUCAUCACUUCUCAUAUUACUCCCACUUGGAUGAACUCCAUUAAUAUCAUUAUCUUGAUCCAAGCUUUCAAAUAGGGGUAAUCUUCCCCUAUUUCGCCCUUCUUAGGAAAUUCAUCCACUAAAAAUGUGACAUCCCGUGAUUCAAAUUCAGUUAUACUCCCACUUUCCUGCUCACCUACGAAUACAUACCCUUUCGAGUGUUCGGAGUAUCUCAUUAAAAUACUCUUAUUUCCUUUAGGACCCAAUUUCCCAAACUUGCGAGAUGACUCAUGAGUAUAGACAGUACAACCCCAUGGCUUAAGAAAACUUAAGUCCGGUUUUCUACCUGUCCAUAACUCAUAUGGAGUGGAACUAACUGAUUUGGAAGGCACUCAGUUAAGUAUAUAGGCAACAGUUAACAACGCAUCACUCCAAAAAGCGAUAUGUAAGUUAGCAUGCGCCAUCAUGGACCUAACCAUUUCCAGUAGGGUUCUGUUUCUUCUCUCUGCAACACCAUUUUGUUGAGGAGUAUAUGGAAUAGACAACUGUAUUUCCAUUCCCUUUUCAUCACAUAAUUUUCUGAACUCAUCAGAUAAAUAUUCUCGACCUCGAUCAGAUCUCAAUGCUUUUAUUUUAUUGUCUAAUUGAUUUUCUAUCAUGUUCAUAAACCUUUUGAAACAACUUAUGCUUCAGAUUUAUGAGAAAUCAAAUAGAUAUUUCCGAAUUGAGUAUAAUUAUCUAUAAAAGUGAUAAAAUAAACAGCCCCAUGCCUUCCUCUCACAUUCAUUGAACCACAGACGUUAGAAUGGAUUAAAUGCAGAUGAAAUUCAGCUCUUUUAUCUUUUCCAAAUGGUUUCCUUGUCGUUUUCCCUACUAGGCAAUGCUCACAUAUUGGCAAAUCGACUUUUUCAAUGUUGCCCAACAAGCCCUCUUUGGCUAGUUUAUUCAUAUGUUGUUGGCCAAUAUGACCAACUCUAGCAUGCCACACAUUCACAUCAUUAUCAUAUGAAGUAAAAGACGUGAAAUAAGGGAACAACAAACAUUGACAUCACCACAGUCAACAUUUAGUACAAUAAAACCAUCCAGAAAGUGACCAUAACCAUAGUAGUUUGUAUCCAAAUACAAAUUUAUAUUGCUAUUACUGAAGUUCACAUUAAAACCAAACUUAACCAACAUCAAAGCAUACGUUAAAUUUCGACGAAUCUCUAGAGCAUAUGGAACGUCAUGUAGGAACAAGAUGCGUCCACUACGCAUGUUCAAUUGGCAUGUGCCAAUCCCUUUAACUUCAUUUCUGGAGUUAUAUCCCACAUAGAUCCACUUAGUUCCAGUCGGUAUCGUCGGAAUUCCACGAAGGAUUCUCUAUCCUUCGCUACAUGGUCUGUCUUUCCUGAAUCUACAGUCCACAAAGGACUAGAUUUAGCCAAUAAUUCAGAACUUGACACAUAAUCAAAGUUCUCAAAUGUACAAGAGGUGUUUACCUUUUUCGGCUCACGACAGUUGCGAGCAUAGUGACCCUUCUUGUCACAAUUGUAACACCUCACCCUUGACAUUUUCUUCACUUGAGGACGUUUUCCUCUCUUGUGUUGGUUAACUCUUGAUCUCUUGCAAUAAGGACUUGAUCCUUUGCAUUCCCACAUAUUGAACGAAUCAAUACACUUGCGCUUAGAGCUCAAAGCCCUUUCUAAGCUAGAACUAGCAUUGCAAAUAUUUAUUUUCAGCUCACAUGCCGUUAAGCGGUCCUCUACCAGCUCAAGGUGGCGCACAGCAUUCUCAAGAUCUUCCAUAACAUGGUCAAGAGCUUCUAGUGCUUCUUGCUUUUCCAGCACAUAUUGAAUCUUCAUAUUCAAUAUUUUACAAUUGUAGCCGUUCAUAUCAGCAAUUACGUUCUUAAUUGCUGAAAACAUCGAUCUGAAUACAUCAGACAUACAUGCAUGAAUAAUUAAUGCCUAUCAUUUAUGCAUCCCUAUUUGCACAGACCCAUCAUAUCAAUGAAUAAUUUCAAGUAAGGUUUCAGAAUCAAAAGGUCACUACGUUUCCAAUUAUCCUCCAAAAAUCCUAACUUAAAACUAUUAUUAAUAUAAUUGUCAUAUGCAAAAUCAAUUCUAUGAAGCUACAAAAACUUCUAAACUACCCACAGCUAAUUACCCACAGCAACCAGCAAUAACAGAAAGCAACAUAUAAUAGACAUCCAAUAAAACAAUAAUGCUUUCAAUUAAUACAACAAUCCAUUACACAAAGUAAUAUAUAUAAAAAAAAAUAUCAACAUAGAAAGAGAUAUUCAACACUAAAAAACAUCUCAAACUAAUCUAAGAAAUAAAUAGGGAAAGUCCCUUCUAAUCCAUCAGUUAAAGUAUCUGAGAAAACUGAAGGCACAUUUGCCAACCAUGGAAAAAAUUUUGGAGAGCUCUCAUGUCGCCACCAAGGCGCAUUCACUCUGCGCCAUGUGGUGCUCAAUCUAAGGGUUGAAUUUUUGGCCAACUCAAUCCUAUAAUGCUCUCUUACAACAGCUUCCACUAGCCUCCUAUAAUCCGGGACCACGUUGACCUCCCAUAGCCAAUCUAACACUGCUUGCCAUUCAGGUGGAAGAGUGUUCAUCAAAGCCGGCACCUUCUCAAAAUCCGGCAUGAGAUAACCAUUCCAGAUGAUUUCCUGUAUCAUCUGAUUGACCUUGACCAUAUGUGAUACUAAAUCACCAUCAAGCCACCGAUAAUCAGCCAACUCUUUCAUCAGCCUUUUCAGUCUAGCUCUUCCUUCGUUCGUUCUUGGGAUUGCAGGUAUCCGUGCAUAACGCAACAUAGUUCCUGCAACAAAUGCAGAACUAAAAUGAAUCACUUAUAAUACAUAAUAAACAAAAUGGAAAAUACAUAAUUUUCCAUGAUCCAUGCAACAAAUGCAGAAUAAAAAAUGGAUUACCUCUAACCCACACAGACAUAAUUGAAAAAAGAAACAAAUUCCUUUUUUUUUUUUUUUUUUUUUCGGGUCAACUGUCAAAGUCAACGGUCAACGGUCAACGGUCGUAGGUCAAUGGUCAGGUCGUCGGACCGGUCGGGCCGAUCGGGCCGGGUCAGAAGAACUGACCGCACGUGCCGCGCGCGUGCGCGGGCUGACGUCACGCAGACGUCAGCCGGCACGUGCCGCGCGGGUGCCGGGCGUCCGCGAGUCGGGUCGGGUCGGGUCGGGUCGCCGGCUGGUGACCGCCCGGCGAAACUUCGUCAUGCUAACGUCAUCGAUGACGUCACCCUAGCGGUUACUGACCGUUGGGUGACGUCAUGCUGUCGUCAGCACGCGUCGGUCCGCGGAUCGGCGCGUGCCGAUUCGCCGGCAGGCGGCGAGCACGUGCCGGUUCACCAACCGGCGCGUGUGUUGCACGUGCUGGGCGAGCCAGUGCUUCUGGGCGCGUCGCGCCCACGCGCAGCGGCUUCUGGCCGCGCGUGGGGGCGCGUGCGGCGUCGCCCAGCGGCGCACGACAUGUCGCCGGACUCGCCUUGACGACCCCUUUCUCGCUAUUUGUUCAGAAAACGAUUUCGACUUACGAAAACUCAGAAAAAUGGCCGAACAGCGCUCGGGUGUCGGGAUUUCUCGCCCCGAUCCGUACGGCCAAAAUUUUUUUGCGAAAAAUCAAUCAAAAACAUCAAACAGGUCGGGAAAAACGUGAACUAGGGCUCUGAUACCAAUGUUGGGAAUAACGGAUCCCCGAAAACUGGAUUCGACACUAAAUUGAACCCCUAAAUCAAUGCGGAAGACGAAGCCCGGGAAAACACGUAUCACCGAUCGUAAAGCACACCACAGAGUCGAGCGUACCUUGUUAGCCACAUAUUAGAAACCAAUGCCGAAGAUCGAGGAAGAAAUUCUGAUCCGAUGAUGUCAAUUCGCCUUGAAAAGGGAAAUCGGCCUUGCCUUAAGCGUACUGUUCUUGUUAGAGGGAGAGAGGGAGAGGAGAAGACGUACGUUCAUUUGUUCCAACGGGUGUCAUCUCUCUCUCUCUCCUCCCUUUUAUACCUUCCCCCAUCCAUGGGCCCUAUUCCCGUGGGCCGGGCCUUUUGGGCCCAGCAUGGGCGGACGGGCCUUAAGCCCAUUACCAAUUAAAACCAUCACCCUAAUAGAAGAUAAAUGUGUUAUUCGGAUACAAGCUUGAGAUAUUUGGUACACAAAAAAAUAAGGUAACUGUGUCACAGUUUGGGGUAUUUUGUAGUUUUUCCCUAAAAAUAUCAUUGUGCAGAUCAUGUGCAUAUCACUGCUACAGUCUACCGCCUCUUCUUUUAGAUCCGUCCGUCUUCGCUAGAUUGGCUUCUUAUCGUCUUCGGCAGUGUCUCCUAACCUGGUGUUUUUUCUUUCUUUGUCUUUUCCGUGCCUUGUUGGUUGUUUGGGUGAGGUUUGUGUCCUUUGGUUCUACGUGGCCUUUCUCUACCUAUUGUUUAGGCUUUUUCUCGCUUUGGCCCGCUCUUGUGGUUUCUUUUGCAUCUGGCACCCUUCCACUCACUUCGACUUGGUGUCGUGUUGAGUGCAAGUUUUGUGGUGCUAGAUCUUAUGUAAAUGUUGGCUUAAAGCUCAUUAUAUUAAUUAUUCUUACAAAAAAAAAAAAAAACUGAGUACGUUUGUCUAGCAUAUAGAGCGAUUCUCGGUUGCGAACAUCGGCCAGAGCCGGACAACAGUCGGGUGCAAGGUGUAUCGAACUUUUCCUGGGAAAAGUAAGGGGAUUUUAUUUAUGUUGACUAGUUGAUUAAUCUCUAAUUAAAGUUUUGGCUUUAUCUUCUUAUAAGAUAAAUGCGACACCAGCUCGAGGAAUUUUUACCUUUUGAGAAUUUGUCACUUCAUGAUGACAUAAGAUAAUGUAGGGUUUUGGGAACCAAGACACUUUUGACUUGCAUGUAAUUCACUACCACCAGCAGAGUUUUUCUCAUAGGACAAAUAACAUGGAUCUUCAAUGUAUGGAACUGCGGAUUAUGUUUGCCUGAUUGCUACCUUCAUUUGAACAGCGGAACUCGGCAAACACUCCUUCCCCCGAUGGUCGAAUGUACUCAAUAAGAUUAUGGAUGCCAAUGAUUGUCCUCGGCUGGCAUGCCUUGACAUUGGCAGUCCGGAAGAACAACUUCUAAAGAGGAGAAGGUUUGUAGAAAUUCAAGAGGCCUUUAGCUAGGCUUUCAAUGAGGAUAAGGACAAGUUCGAGAAAUCAAACGUUUCUUCCUCUUCACCAUCUUCAUCUUCAGGAGCAACGAGGCCUAAGGAAAAGCUCCAUAUGAACAACAGGUCAUUUAAGAUUUCAGAAAUGCUUGUACCGUGGUAAUAUAAACUUCUUUUCUAUUGGUUUUGCAUCUGCCAAUUUCUGUCUCUGUACCGGGGUUUUUCAACAGGUCAUUCAAAAAGAUAGGGGUAGUGUUAUAGUUUCUGUUAAAAGUUCAAUCUGGUGAGAAUCACGAGGGCCAUUUCAAUUUUUUUUGGCUGUCUUAGCAGGAAAUAUUGCAAGUAAAUGAUCAAGUGCAUAUGGGUCGAAGAAUUGUGGCCCGACUAAUUUCAACAUGGAAUAUCACAAUUCACAGGAGACUAUCUCACACCAAAAUUUGGUUAGGAUGCACAGAAAAAGCACGCAGUUCAAUAUGCAGAAGUACAGAGUACGUAUGGAUGCACCUAGAUACAUCAUACGUACUCUCGUUCUCUCGAAACUCAGAAAUAUUAUCUGGUGCAUAUGGAGUCCGUAAGAAAAAGCUCCAUUGAGAACGGAAAGAGACGCUGAGAAAUUAGCUGGAAAUGUCUGAUGUUCACUCAGGAAGACUUCAGACAGACGUCAGGGAGUGAUCACUUUUUGGGAAAAUUCCAGGGUCGCUGCUUUCAUGUCCUGGUCCAUCAUUUGUGUUUGUCCACUUUAUUUAGUCACUUCCUAAUCCGAAUUUGGUAAAGAGUCACAUCUGUGAUGUACUAAAAGAUUCACCAAAUAUAGAUAAAAAUCUCUUGAGGCAGACUUUACAACAACACCUGGCCUAAUUUCCGUGGUCAAUUUUUUUUUUUUGGGUGAGGAUUGGACCGCAUUAACUUUGGAUAUGCGAAUUAUAUCAAUGAUGAGAUGGAAACAGCGUAAUUGAUCUACUUUGUAAAAGAUUCUCCAAAGACUCAGUAAAUUUUAUUCAAAUAGCCCUUGAAAUGGAAUAUUUACUCAUAAGAUUCUUUAAAAUGAACUUCAUUUCAAAUAAAGUCCAUAAGUAAGCGACUUAGUCUUCAAUCACCCACAACUCACCUGCUAAUCAAUUAUUUGUCGACGGACAGGCACGUGAAUCUCAUGUGACAGUAACCAAACCAUGACUAAAGACAUUUUCAUUUAGGAUGGAGGUUGAUCCGUGCCUUAGAGGCGAGAUCUAAGGCUCAAAUCAAGCACAAGCAUGUCAAUAUUUGACCCUUGUGGUCGCCACUAUUUAGUUCUUGAUAUGAUGAUGGCUGAUGGCAAGGAGAGAGAUGCGCGCAGAAGAGAUGGUGGAGAGAACGCUCACAGAGGGAGACGAGGGUGAUGACGGCACACAGAAAAGGGGAAGGGCGACAACAUCAGACGAGGCAACAUAAGAUGAGGCAAUGCUAUCACGGUGAUGGCUACGUGCAGUUGCAAGAUUUUGGCGUCCUGGCGACUUCUUGUCGGCGGUCCAUUGUGGAUUUUGUUGGUAGUUUAUUUGUAAAACAAACUUGAAAGUUCCUCCUCCCACAUAGAAUAAUUAGAAGUGCGUGUGUCAAUAUGUAAGUGUGAAAGCCUUCCACUCUUUCUAAUGGAAACGAUGGGUUUAGUGGGUUGGACCCUACAAUACCCAUAUGCCAGUAUGCAAUAAGUAGAUGUACUUCGCAAUUGGGUUAUGGUUGUUUUUUAUUAAUUAAUUUUGAAUUUUAUUGCUAAAGGUAAUUCAGCAUCUUACAAUCUUUAAGAAGUCGUGUCUUUUCAGAAGUUUUAAAAUCCAUAAUUAAAAAAAAAUAUUAUUAUUAUUAUUAUUAUUUAAUAGGAAUUCCAAAAUGUCUUUGGAGAAAGCAUCUGUUCACAAUAAUUCUAAAAGACUAUUCAUCAUUUUUUGUCUCAUAUUUUCUUUAGUCUUGUCAAUUUUCUUUCAAAAAAUUACAAACCAUUUAUUUUAAUUGUUUCCUUUUAAGAGUUAUUGGAGAAACACGGGAAUUGCUAUCCGGUAUUCUCAUUGAGAUUUUGUUGUAUCGAUUUUGUUGAAUAACUAUUAGCAAUGUUGGGGAUAAAUAAUGUUUUAAAGAGAGUGUUAUCACACUUCAAAAUCUGACUCCACUCUUCUUCCCAAUCAUAUUUCUGCUGACAGAUCUAGAGGUAGGGAAAUGGAGUUCUUGCAAGUGACUCGCUUUGACGGUGUCGACAAAGAACUCGAGGUAUUGUGGACACUAGCUUUCCUCUUUGGAGCUCCAACUUGGCUGCCUAUCGAGGUAGACCCUGUCGACUGAGGCUUGGAAGUGGCUGCCCAUGCUGAUAGGAUUCCGAAGUUGAGACCAAAGCCACUACGCACCAUUGUCUUGAUCGCGCGCGGGGCUUCCUCAUGGCAGCUAAGACUGUAAAAAGCGGGCAAUGAGCACAUCGAAGGCAAUCUUACUGGAGAUGCAGUGAUUGAGGCGAGAAACGGCGCAAAAGGGGUCGUUGAAGGCAAAACAAAACAAGACAAUGCCUUGUACGAAAAUGUCCCUAUAAUAUUUUGAAAUUGACAAAAUAUUCUAUUUCUAAUUAUAAUUUUAUAGAUGUAAAUGUUGUCUUACUUCAAGUAAUGUUGAUAUGAGGGACGCUCUAUCGCCAUUGAUGGAAUUUGAAGCAUGAAGAUUACUAGAAGUCGAAUGGAUCAUGAUAGAGUGUGAACAGGUUUAGAAGAAUGGGAAGUUCACAAUAACUUAGAGGUAUCGUGAUAAGGUGAAUAGUGAGUGAAGUCUUGAACAUUAGUGUACCCAUGGAUAGCAAUACGCAAGUCGAUUGCUGAUAGAAACGGCUUAUUAUAUCAGCUAUGGAGAAAAAUAUUUUUCUAGUUCAAGCAAUCUGGAUAAGAAGACCAAUGUUCUUUCACUUAAUUUGCGAGUUAGAAGUUAUAAAUAGCUAGCUUUCAAGGCUUGGAAUCUCGAAGUGAAGAUAUGGAGAGAAAUCAAUAUGAUUGUUACCUAUGUUACUCAAUCAAUUAGAAGAAUAGAUUAUUGAGCCACAUAGCUUAUUAUAUUUAGGGAAACCUCAUUAUUACCUAGAAGAUUUGAUCAUAUGGUUGACCGGAUCUCAUAGUAAUUGCGUUCAUAAUUUUCAAUGGCUAAUUAAUCCUCUUAAGGAUUCUUUAACGGUUAAUUUGGAGGCUGAAGACUAUAUAAGAAGAUUGAUACACUCUAAAUAAUUUAUGUAAAACUAAGAAAGUUGUAAAUAUCGAUAUGGUCACAUUUAUUUUAUGUUGCAAGCGUGAUUUUAUUCACUUGUGAUCUACUCCUUUGAGAGUUGUGAUUGUUCAGUGUAAUUUGUAAUUUGAGGAGUGUACAAAUAUAGGUAGUGCUUGUCUAUUGAUAGUGGGAUCUAUCAAUUUUGGAUAGAAGCAGCACGUGCUUUGGUGUAACUACUAACGAGAAUAUUAAUAGAUUCCAGCCUAUUCGUGGUGAAUAAAGACGCAAACUUGUUAUAAAUCAAACCACGAGCAUUGUGUUUUAUCUCUUUACUUAUUUCACCAUUUAUCUUAUAGAAAUAUCUUGCAUCUUAUAUUAUCCAUUGUUUUUGCAUCUAUCAAAUCUAGUUUAGUAAUUCCAUGAAAAAGAAGAAAGGGAAAUUUUUUUUUUUUGAAAAUCAGCUUAUCCACCCCCUUCGGUUGUAUCAUCAGUCUCCACAGAAAGUGCCACGUGAGGUCCACAUGCUUAAUGAGCGAUGAUAGUUGGUUUGUAGACUAGGAGUGAUUUGAAACUUAGUCGUUCAUUUUAAAGAUUAAUUUGGGACAAGGUUCACUUUGAAAACUUUUAAAAAGAACGACUUCCCUUCAUAAAGGCUGUUUGAAAAUUUCUCGAAAAGUUUGCCAACUCUUUUGGGGAAUUAAAACUUCAAUGCUCUAUAAAAAAAAAGCCUUUCAUUUGAUCUCCUUUAGUUUCGAGCAGUUUGAAUGAUUACCCAUGUGACUAGGCAGUGUUCUCAUGGAAAAAGGACCAAUUACGGCAUCAAUCAACCUCUCCCUGCUUGGCGUAUUGAAGCUUCCAAUAAGAACACAUAUUAGAUUCACAAGAAGCACCUGCGAUUUAAACAAAAAGAAAAGAAAAGAAACAUGGAACAUUUCUUGUAAGUUCUGGUUGAAAUUUGGUAAUGUAAAGCAUUUCGAAAAGUUCUUCUCAUUAAAACUGAAAAUGAACUUUCGCACAAUUAACGCUUCUACUUAUACAUAACUGGUGACCACACACACACACACACACACACACACACAGAGUUUGUGCUAACUUGAGAAAUGAACACUGAAAGGACUUCGAUACAAUGGUGAAAAAGAUAGAAACUACAACAUAUGUACAAGCAUAUUCCAUUGACCCAUCAAAACCUAGUUUAUGAGUUGGAUUCUCUCUUCCUUCCUGUUUCCAGCAUGUACCUUCAUGCCGUCAAGCAAAAAGUCGCUUCACUUCAGUAUCUCUCUUCAAUUAUGCAAGAGCUGUGUCAUGUGAUCUGGGUCACAAUAAAACAGCAGCAACAAGGACUCUAAUGUCCAGCUUAAUAACAAAACGAAACCCAAAAGGACAAGAAAGUAACAGAAAGGGCAGCGCGGGAGUCCAUGAAAAUUUAGGGCAUCAGUCCUCCUGCUUGCUCCAUCAGUUCACUUGUGUACCCAUUCCAUUAAUCAGACUCUCCAGUUCAAGAUAGAUUCCCGUGUCAUUCAACGUCAGGUGGUCUUCUACUUCUAUGUUGUCCGCAUCUGCGCCAAUAACCACGUCUUCCUUGAGGAGCUUCUCGGAAAUCCCCUGGAAUACCGAAGACAAAUCAGAUGAGCUAGCUCCGGUCAUCUGAUUGGGCGUCUGGCCCUGCGCAACCCUGAAAUCUUCACCAUCCAUCGAAGGCCACGGAUUGUGCAUCUGAAAGGUGCCAAAUUGCUCCGGCACAACACUAUUUGGCCGACGCUCCAUCUGUGCCAAAUCGUCACUGAUUUUCAGGCAAUCAACUUUUGGGCUUUGAAUCAUGUGAUCCAUUGCUUCUAGCAAGCAUUUGGUGGCUUCGGCAUCGGGACCAAGCAAUUCUCUCUUCUUGCUCGAUUCACAGGUCUCUAAAUCUCUCUUCUGCUUCUUCUUCGGGGUUAAAUUCAGGAGAAAGUUGGGGCUUUUGGCUGCUUUUAUGAAGAAGAGGAAUAGGAGCUGGUUCCUGCAGUCGGCAUGGCGAACCUGCUCAGCAACCUGCUCGAUCUCAUGCUGCAAGUUGUCCUGCUCUUCUCUUAGCUUAAGGAUCUUGGUCUUCAACGCUUCCUGCUCCUUCUUAAGCGUUUUGAGUUUCGCUUCCUUUUCAGCUUUCUGGUAAUCAGAGGUGACAGUACUACUAGAUUUUUUUCUAUGCUUGUUUAAGUUGUGUCUCCUCUUUAUGUUCUUCAGCAAAUGCUUCUUCCCUUUCUGAAAACCUUGGUUUACAAACUCCCAUCGAUCUGGAUUGAUCUUCCUAAAACCCUGCGACACAUUUUUAAUUAUGAUGCAUGAAGAAUAGAAGAUAGGAAGAAGCUAUGUCUAGGAGUUCAUAAUGAACCAAAGGCUAAAGAGUAGAAAAUAAGCAGAAUGAAGGCCAAGAAAGUUUCAGUGGAAGAUGUGCAC